This 69-nucleotide transfer RNA is filed under the name Urocitellus parryii (Arctic ground squirrel). RNAcentral describes it as "Spermophilus parryii (Arctic ground squirrel) tRNA". It matches the Rfam family "tRNA". Rfam says of the family: Transfer RNA (tRNA) molecules are approximately 80 nucleotides in length. Their secondary structure includes four short double-helical elements and three loops (D, anti-codon, and T loops). Further hydrogen bonds mediate the characteristic L-shaped molecular structure. tRNAs have two regions of fundamental functional importance: the anti-codon, which is responsible for specific mRNA codon recognition, and the 3' end, to which the tRNAs corresponding amino acid is attached (by aminoacyl-tRNA synthetases). tRNAs cope with the degeneracy of the genetic code in two manners: having more than one tRNA (with a specific anti-codon) for a particular amino acid; and 'wobble' base-pairing, i.e. permitting non-standard base-pairing at the 3rd anti-codon position. Lineage: Eukaryota; Metazoa; Chordata; Mammalia; Rodentia; Sciuridae. RNAcentral also lists the same sequence under 2 other names. The record is from Rfam by way of RNAcentral.
GGGAUUGUGGCUCAGUGGUAGAGUGCUUGCCUAGCAUGUGUGAGGCCCUGGGUUCAAUCCUCAGCACCA